Molecule: ribosomal RNA, 510 nt
Filed under: uncultured bacterium
Lineage: Bacteria
Description: partial 16S ribosomal RNA
Rfam family: Bacterial small subunit ribosomal RNA
Source: RNAcentral
GACGAACGCUGGCGGCGUGCUUAACACAUGCAAGUCGAACGAAGAGCGAUGGAAGCUUGCUUCUAUCAAUCUUAGUGGCGAACGGGUGAGAAACGCGUAAUCAACCUGCCCUUCAGAGGGGGACAACAGUUGGAAACGACUGCUAAUACCGCAUACGAUCUAAUCUCGGCAUCGAGGAUAGAUGAAAGGUGGCCUCUACAUGUAAGCUAUCACUGAAGGAGGGGAUUGCGUCUGAUUAGCUAGUUGGAGGGGUAACGGCCCACCAAGGCGAUGAUCAGUAGCCGGUCUGAGAGGAUGAACGGCCACAUUGGGACUGAGACACGGCCCAGACUCCUACGGGAGGCAGCAGUGGGGAAUCUUCCGCAAUGGACGAAAGUCUGACGGAGCAACGCCGCGUGAGCGAUGACGGCCUUCGGGUUGUAAAGCUCUGUUAAUCGGGACGAAAGGCCUUCUUGCGAAUAGUGAGAAGGAUUGACGGUACCGGAAUAGAAAGCCACGGCUAACUACGUG